UAUUUUAAGUUAACAAAAAAAUCAAAAGGAAAAAUCGUGAAUGUUUUUUGUAAUUCAGUAGAUGUUUUUAAGUUCCUAAACAAUUUGUUAGAAAACUCGACUAACAAAUAAAUCAUGGGUCGAAAUCCCAUCAAAGAAGAAAUUGCUAGCACUGAUGCAUGUAGAGCAGAGUCGUGGCCGUAUGCGCGCUUGCUCGCUACCCCACUUGUUAGGUGUUCUCGGCGGGCGUGGCUAAGAGCAUCUCCACUCA
Molecule: long non-coding RNA, 250 nt
Filed under: Hordeum vulgare
Lineage: Eukaryota; Viridiplantae; Streptophyta; Magnoliopsida; Poales; Poaceae
Description: long non-coding RNA (HVUL_LNC001446)
Source: RNAcentral